CGGACGGGUGAGUAACACGUGGAUAACCUACCUAUAAGACUGGGAUAACUUCGGGAAACCGUAGCUAAUACCGGAUAAUAUAUUGAACCGCAUGGUUCAAUAGUGAAAGACGGUUUUGCUGUCACUUAUAGAUGGAUCCGCGCCGCAUUAGCUAGUUGGUAAGGUAACGGCUUACCAAGGCGACGAUGCGUAGCCGACCUGAGAUGGUGAUCGGCCACACUGGAACUGAGACACGGUCCAG
RNAcentral lists this ribosomal RNA (241 nucleotides) under uncultured Staphylococcus sp. Its description in RNAcentral is "partial 16S ribosomal RNA". It matches the Rfam family "Bacterial small subunit ribosomal RNA", at positions 99 to 334 of the family's 1533-position model. Lineage: Bacteria; Bacillati; Bacillota; Bacilli; Caryophanales; Staphylococcaceae. The record is from RNAcentral.